GAAAGAUUUUACUACAAAAUUUUGUGUAAUUUCCUUGAAGGUUGGCAAUAACACAAUAAGCGGACUUUCCGUGCCUAUCAAGUUUCUUAUACAUGGCCUCAUGCAGAUGCAAGUCGCUACAUC
Molecule: non-coding RNA, 123 nt
Organism: Brassica napus (rape)
Lineage: Eukaryota; Viridiplantae; Streptophyta; Magnoliopsida; Brassicales; Brassicaceae
Source: Rfam